UGUAAUUCUGAGGCAGGUCAGAGCCAGGGUGCAUGUCCUCCACAAGGGUCCCUCUUUGCAUCCCCCCACUGUGCAUUCAUAUUCACAAGUGGGUUCAUGAACUCAGAUAAUCCAGACCCAGGCACGCCUGGGACCUUUCCUUCCUGUGUUACAGGCCAAGUGCUGCUACGGAAGCAGAGGCACCGGCGUCCUAUUGCCAGGGAAUCUUUCUCCUCAGCUGGGGUAGAUGCUGGUUGAAGCGGUCACCACAGCUGCUCACCUGGUAAGGCAGAUUCAAAACUCCCCCUCCGUCUUCACAAAACCCAGUCCCAACUCCAGUGCUGGCUUUUGUGGCAAUGGUGCCAGCUCUCUGGCGGCUGCACAACCUGGGAUCCUGGGUCGACCAGGUCUGGGGUCCCCUCCUGUGCAGGGUCAGGGGCAUUCACAUGCUGCCACUGGCUCCACCCGAGUGCUAAGGUCCGAUGCGAUCUUCGAGCAGCGCAGUGAGCAUCAGUGGAUCUUUUGAGAAAGUCAUGGGAAGAAGACAUGGACCAAGGAGAGAGGAAGGGGAGAAAAAUCAGAACUACAGUGUGGUGAUGCAGGUGUGCCGAGUCUCCACAAUGAACACGAUUAUUAUCUACUGCAAAGAGAUACUGUUAAACAAGUUUUUAAAUUUUAAAUCAUCGAUAUUUUGGGACAGUUUCUUGUAGCUUUCCGACUCGUUUUAGGUUUUGCCGUGUGAAGUUUUAGAGCUGCUGGAGGCAGGAAAGACCCGGUCGUGGUGGUUUGAAAGGGUUGCCCGCGGGCUGUCUCUGGCUCCACACCCUCCUGCGCCGCGGACGCCUGGGGCAGGCGCCUGGGUCACGGAUGGAUGGCGUGAUUGCCCCAGGCCGCGCCCUGCUGUCCAUGGGGAAGCUGUCUCCACCCCGGAGGGCUGGCCGAGAGGAAGCACGGGUCUGGGAGCCAGUGACAUGCAGCUCACCCUGCCCUCCAAGCCCCCGAGACACUCAGGAGAAGCGAGGACCAGGAUGCCGGGCGAGGACAGCUUGGCCCGAACUGGAUGGAACUGGGCGUAAAAUAUUGCACAUGAUGUUAGGAGAUACGUGGCACGUGCGUGCGUACAUCCCUGCGCUCUCACGACACUUGGACGGAUAAUGCAGCUCUCGCGGGACUUGGACGGGACAACGUGAAUGCACCCCCACGCUAAAGCCUCGUGAGCCAACUGCGUCGGCUUGUGUCUUGUGCCAGGAUGAAAAAUGUUGAACAAAAAGUGAAAAUUAAAUCCAGAGAAAAAUGAAAGUCGACUUGGAAUGAUCGGAGGGGAAAGUUCCGAGGACAGAUGCAGGUAUCUUCCUGAAAGAGUUAAAGAUGUCAUACUGCAAAGACACAUGCACAUUCACGUUUAAGCAGCACAACUCACAAAAGCUAAAUCUUGGAAGCAGCCUGUGUAUCCAUCAUGAACGGAGAAAGAAAAUGUGGCAUUUAUAUACAGUGAAAUACUACUCUGCCGUAAAGAUGGAUAAACGUGAGUCAUCUGUAGGAAAAUGGAUGCACCUUGAGACGAUAUCGUUAAGUGAAAUAAAUCAGACACAGGAGCUUAAAUAUCACAUGGCUCCUCUUACUGAGAAACCCUUAAUAUAAAUAAAGAGGAAAAGGCAGAUGGUAGGA
This is a long non-coding RNA of Heterocephalus glaber (naked mole-rat), 1647 nucleotides long. RefSeq lists it as uncharacterized. NCBI's taxonomy places the organism in Eukaryota, Metazoa, Chordata, Mammalia, Rodentia, Bathyergidae. The record is from RefSeq and is a predicted model, not a curated record.